RNAcentral lists this transfer RNA (77 nucleotides) under Pseudomonadales bacterium. RNAcentral describes it as "tRNA-Pro". It matches the Rfam family "tRNA". From Rfam's summary of the family: Transfer RNA (tRNA) molecules are approximately 80 nucleotides in length. Their secondary structure includes four short double-helical elements and three loops (D, anti-codon, and T loops). Lineage: Bacteria; Pseudomonadati; Pseudomonadota; Gammaproteobacteria; Pseudomonadales. The record is from RNAcentral.
CGGGAUGUGGCUCAGCCUGGUAGAGCACUGCCUUCGGGAGGCAGGGGUCGGAGGUUCAAAUCCUCCCAUCCCGACCA